Potamilus streckersoni is the source of this 73-nucleotide non-coding RNA. Lineage: Eukaryota; Metazoa; Mollusca; Bivalvia; Unionida; Unionidae. The record is from the annotation of a GenBank genome assembly.
AAUCCGGUGGCCUAGUGGUUUGAACGACCGCCUUGGGUGCGGGAGGUCGUGGGUUCGAUCCCCGGCCGAGUCA